CCCACUUGCAGUGACAUUCAUGCUCUACAGCACAACUCUCCUCCAAAAGGAAAAUCGAUAGAAGCAAACACUAAUUUAAAAAACAAAGCAAAUGAACUUUUCAGUAACUCUAACAAUUACUCAGAAAGGGCAAAAGCACUCUAGACAUCAGCAACAUGCUGGGUUUCUGGAGCAGUAAACACUGUGUCUGUAGUGUUCUGCUUCCCCUUGCUGCUUCUACUGUGAAAAAGUGAAUGCUUAAAUUGCACCUUGCUCAAGAACAUUUCAAAACCUACCAUUCUGAACCAGCCCAGAGAAAACAAGGGGAGCAUAAUAACUGUAACUACCAGAUCUAUUUAUGUAUCAGCCAGACCUAUACUGCUGGAUAAAUAUACCAUACGAAAAUCCCUGGGAGAAGAGCAAUUACCAUAAGAGUGGCUUAUCUGCAUGAUAUUUGGUUAACAGAUGAGGAGCUAAACAAACAGCGAUUUCUCUUUGGCAACCUGUUCUCUUUCCUCCCUGAAUUACAGGAUAUUUUAAAACAAAAGCAAAGAAGCCUAUUUUUAGAUAUUGGGAGUUCAUGCCAGUCACCCCUUCUCCCAUCCUGGGCAACUGCCACCCAGUGAAGAUUUAGGGAAAAUGAUCAUCAUCGCGGGUGGGAGCACUGGCACCCUCCCACCACACAGCCACUGUGAGCAGCACCACAGCCACCACCAGGAGCCCCCAGGGGACCUUGGAAGCCAGAGGCAGUGGGCAAUACCCACGUCUCCUUGGAAGUAAUGGCAGAAGUCCUGCUGCAUUCAGUCAGGUCAAAGCAUAACCAGAUCUCUCACUUUUCCAGAGGAGCUCACCCUGCCUCGCCUGCCGCCUCACUCACCAGGUAAACCUGGGCAUGAUGAUUUACCACAGGGAGAAGAAGACACUGCUGCUGGUGGUCAGGGGUGAUGGAGUCAACAUCAAAGGAGAGCCCACAUGGUUGCAUGGAGCAGACCAGGAGCCAGCAAUGGCAGAAAGAAAGAGAAAAUGAUCCUGAUUCAAAGCAGCAUUGAAAUACAAGGCUCUGCCAGAUGUUACAUAAACAAUGAUGUAAUGCCAAAGUAUUUCAUUACACAUGCAGCUCUGUUCUUCAGCCCAGAAGUGAUUUAUUACAUUUUGUCAAUCCCAUUUUAUGUACCCACAUCAUUUUUACAUCAUUUUUCUUCAUGACAUUGUUACAUUCUCACAGAAGCACAUAGAGAUAACAUGAUAACAGUGCAGGCAAUGAAGUUAGCAUUUUAAAAAUAAUGUUACUAAUAAAUAAAUAUACCAGUGAGGGGGAAAUGGUCUG
Molecule: long non-coding RNA, 1306 nt
Filed under: Numida meleagris (helmeted guineafowl)
Lineage: Eukaryota; Metazoa; Chordata; Aves; Galliformes; Numididae
Description: lncRNA (ENSNMEG00000007837.1)
Source: RNAcentral